GGCGCACAACCAGUGGAGCAUGUGGUUCAAUUCGAUACAAAGCGAUGAACCUUUACCUGGGUUUGAAAUGCACCUGCAAAUCCCGAGAAAUCGGGACAUCCUUCGAGGGUGGUACACAGCUGUUGCAUGGCUGUCGUCAGCUCGUGACGUGAGUUGUUCUCUUAAGUGAGGUAACGAGCGCAACCCCCGUUCUGUGUUAUUGUGUCACAGAAGACUGCCUAGCAUUAUUUUGUUAGGAGGAAGGAGGGGACGACGUCAAGUCAUCAUGAUGCUUAUAUCCAGGGCUACACACAUCCUACAAUGGGCUAUAACAGAGGGUUGCAAGACCGCAAGGUGGAGCUAAUCCCUAAACUAGCCCUCAGUUGGGAUUGCAGGCUGAAACUCGCCUGCAUGAACCCGGAAUUGGUAGUAAUCGCACAUCAGCAGCGUGCGGUGAAUACGUUCUCGCCUCUU
RNAcentral lists this ribosomal RNA (453 nucleotides) under uncultured Microgenomates group bacterium. RNAcentral describes it as "bacterial SSU rRNA". It matches the Rfam family "Bacterial small subunit ribosomal RNA", at positions 920 to 1382 of the family's 1533-position model. The record is from RNAcentral.